GAUCCUGGCUCAGGAUGGACGCUAGCUACAGGCUUAACACAUGCAAGUCGAGGGGCAGCAUUUUAGUUUGCUUGCAAACUAAAGAUGGCGGCCGGCGCACGGGUGAGUAACACGUAUCCAACCUGCCGAUAACUCAGGGAUAGCCUUUCGAAAGAAANAUUAAUACCUGAUGGCAUAGGAUUAUCGCAUGAUAAUCCUAUUAAAGAAUUUCGGUUAUCGAUGGGGAUGCGUUCCAUUAGG
RNAcentral lists this ribosomal RNA (240 nucleotides) under uncultured bacterium. RNAcentral describes it as "partial 16S ribosomal RNA". It matches the Rfam family "Bacterial small subunit ribosomal RNA", at positions 15 to 245 of the family's 1533-position model. The record is from RNAcentral.